AUGGGGCAUUUGGAGAGGACGGGAAGCAAAAGGGUGGAAGGAGGACCAGUCAGUUCAACAGUUUCAAGGACUUCAGCAACAAAUUUCUAUGAGAGGAAAAAGAAGAAUAUUGUUAGUUUCUUAGGUAAGCCUCUUGUUUAUCCAUCUAGUGCUAUGCUUAUUAAAUUCGAUAUAUCUCUGAGACUGAUGACAUACAGAUCUUGUUUGUUUGUCGACAUGAGAAGGCAGACGAAGCCACGCAGAAUAAGUUACAGACUCUUCAACUGUAAGCUGUGGGGAAUGUAUGUCGACUUGUUCGCAGUAACCCAAGAUUCUGACAAAUGUUUCCUGCACCUUGGGAUAUCCACCUAUUCUUAUGUCCCCUUCAAUAUAACCUCCUGUUUUCCUUCCUGCUAA
RNAcentral lists this ribosomal RNA (396 nucleotides) under Triticum aestivum (bread wheat). RNAcentral's name for it is "partial small subunit ribosomal RNA". Lineage: Eukaryota; Viridiplantae; Streptophyta; Magnoliopsida; Poales; Poaceae. The record is from RNAcentral.